ACCCUGGGGAAGCUUGCAGUUGUGCAGAUCUACUAGAGUUGAGUGCUAAGUUUACCUAAGGGAAUAUGAUAAUAGUAAUAGGCUAAAUUGCAUCCUAUAAUGUAAUCUUAUCUUCAAUAAAACUGAUUUUUAAAAUCUACAUCUUUUGGUAACAGCAUUUACUUAUCAGUUGGCUUUGAACUUGGAAUAGAAAAGGAACAUGAUUACUCUAAAACCACAGUCUCAAACUCAAAAAGCCGUUAAAAAAGAAAACAAUAAAUAAAACUUCUAUGAAGGCUCAAGACUUCUCUCAUCAUUGAAAGUCACGCCUCAAGACUAAUUUAGAUGGAAAUCAGAUGGAAAGCCUGAUGCUGCAGUUUGUUGAAUUAUAAGGUUCUUUCAGAAGAAGUUUUCUUGAUCAUAGCAGAGACAGUGUGGAUUUGGGAGCUGUUCAGAUUCAAUCCUGCUCCUCUUGACCUUCCAGCAAUUUUGUAAGUACUUAGUUUUCUACAUUGGAUCCU
Molecule: long non-coding RNA, 500 nt
Filed under: Papio anubis (olive baboon)
Lineage: Eukaryota; Metazoa; Chordata; Mammalia; Primates; Cercopithecidae
Description: lncRNA (ENSPANG00000042034.1)
Source: RNAcentral